Molecule: long non-coding RNA, 6814 nt
Filed under: Citrus maxima (pomelo)
Lineage: Eukaryota; Viridiplantae; Streptophyta; Magnoliopsida; Sapindales; Rutaceae
Description: long non-coding RNA (CMAX_LNC003351)
Source: RNAcentral
AACAAACAUUGACUCGUUCCUUAUUCAGAAGCUACGUACGGUAUAGUUAUGGCUAACCGUACACUGUACGUAGCUUGUUAUUGUUCUAAACACAAGACGACUGAAACGAGACACAUCACACGAACGACAGCAAAUAAUUAAGGUAGCCACAGCUAGCUUUCGCUGCUAACGAUGGAUAUAAUUUCUUUCAUUGAUAAGCAACUAGCACUCGAAGUAACAGAAGCACGCAUAACCAGUUCCUUGUCUGUAGCAAGCCCCGUACCUUGCAUCCUCCUGCUGCUUGCAGUGCCUGCUACAUUUCCCCGUGUUGAGACACGGCCCCGACCAUGUCUUGCUACGCCGCUGGCACACUUUUGCUUCCGCCAUUGGCACUUCUGUAACAAGCAUACAAAAUCAUUAACGUGCACUUAGAUAUAUAAGUUAUUAUCAAAGCUCAUGGGUGUCAACAAAUUCAGGUGGUAAAAUGAUCUCUUAGGUUGAAACAAGAAGUCUGAGGUUUAAACUCUGCUUACAUGAAUGGAAGAGUGCUUUAUAUUACAAUAUACCAGUAUACAAACACACACACACACACACUAAAAUCUGAAAUAAAAAAAAAAUUGUUAUGAAAGUUUAAUAUGCAUGCAUAUGAAACAUAUAUAUGAUUUUGCUUCCCCUCUGGCAUUUCUGUAACACAUACACAGCAUAUUUAAUGCACUCAGUUAGCUAAUAUUAGUUAGGCACGUGGGCUUAUGAAUGGUAUUUAGUGUCAGACUCAUGCGCAAGUAUGCCCUCAUCGCUUAAGAGCAGUUAUUCAAGAAAACUUCAACUAUAAACUAACUUUUUGAGUAUGAGUUAGGCUCAAGUCUUUUUGAAACUGCACAACUUAAUAUCAUAGGCAAAACUUAAAAUUAAAUUUUGAUUGCUGAAAAACUAUUAAGUACUGGUUAACAUCAAGUCACUCACCGAAGGAAGCAAAGAGUAUGAAGAACGCAAAAAUAAGAGCAAAAGCUGUGGUAAUGCUAGCAACUGACUUAGCCAUUUUUGCACUUGCUUUGGUUUUAAUUUGAUGAAAUUGCUGAAGGCCCCAACCCCUAUUUAUACUUGGAUAUAAGCUGUCUCUUCGUCUCUAGCCAAGAUCCGCGAGAGACAAAGAAACAAUAAAUUAAUUAACCGGGGAAAUUUGAAUUAGACACUAAAAAAUGAAUUCACGCUCGGAUUAUUGACAAAAAAUUUUACAGUUUAUGCAAAUAAUUGUGAAUUAGAAUGACGUCCUGCCAAUUGCUAUAUUAUAUGCACUCUGAAGUAGUCUUAGGUAGUUGAAAUCUUCAAAUUUAAAUAUAAUACGCAAUGCGAACUUCAAUGACCCAAUCUUCCCCAUAACCUUGUCAUUGACAAAAGAUUUUACAGUUUAUUCAGAUAAUUGUGAAUUGAAAUAGUGUCCUGCCAAGUGCUCUAUUUCAUUAUUUCAUAUGCACUCUGAAGUAGUCUUAGUUAAAAUCUUAAAAUUUAAAUAUCAUAUCCAAUGCCCGACUUCAAUGACCCAUUCUUCCCUAUAACCUUGUUAAACCACCCUAUCGGAUUCUGUAUAUUCUAUUUAUUGUGUGGUUAAUUGUUCUUAUCAAUCGGAUCUAUGACAUACAGCGCUUCAUCUACGUAGCAAAAUGAUGGUGCAAGUAUAAUUUUCUAUUGCUAUAAACAGAAAAUUAAACGUUUUAUUCAUACUAUUACUUUUAUAAGUUUUAUGUAAACUUUUAAAGACCACAUUGAAAAGAUAAAUUCACUCUUGUUAUCAUUCAAUUUAGCUUAAGGUCAAUUUAUACCAGAAUAUUGAGAAGAUAGAAAGAACUUAAACAAUCAUACUAAAUAGGGGAUUUCUUCCAUAUUUUUAAUACUAUAAUGUCGAUGAUACGUACUAUUUUUACAUUCAAUGAUGAAAAUGAUUUUGGCUCAUAUUAGUCUUAAUAAAGAAGAAUUAAUAUUUAGGAUCAUAAAGUGAUCCCUUUUUUAUGAAAUUCUUAUUUAUUUCUGACAAAAAAUCUUAAAGAUAACAAGACAACUGAAGAGAAAAUUCCUCCAAACAUACAUAAAAACCAUGACAACAAAAAUGAAAAUGAGCCAAAGCAUUUCUUGAUUACAAAUUCUUGGGACAUAACAGAUUCGAAAAUCUUACUUUGAUACAGGUAAGUGUUAGAGAUUAGAAAUAAUAUGAAACAACUAUGUAUGAGUAUGAUGGAUACCCUAAAUCAGCUAAACAACGCACAACAUAGUCAUCCUAAUCUUAUUAAAGGGAUGUAUCUUCGACAACUUAUUUGAUCUCUUAUGCUGUGGGGGCCAAAUUCAUUUAUGUGGGGGAAAUUUGUGAACUAUGACCUUCAAAUUCUUGUACGUGUAAGGUAAGAACUCUCGUCUAAAAGCCUUGUUUUAUUAGGUGAUUAUUGACAUAGACAAAUAAAAUAUAGCAAUUGAUUAGUGAUUACGACAAUGUUGAUGCGUAAUCAAAUAGAAUAUUUAUGAUUUUUUUAUGCUCAUCGGAUGUUAAUAAGAUAAGAAUCGCGAUGAAAAGUUCAUCAAUGUAUAUGGUACGCAUGUUGAUAGAGGACAAAAACAUUGUUUGAAAUUAAUAUUUUUUUGGGUUUAAAGGUAUUGGACUUUUCUUCUUUGACUAUGGAUAGUAGUUUUUUUUGGAAUCAAAUACAGUAUGAUUAUUUGAACAUAUUAAAAUACUCAAUAAACAUGUUUACUAAAAUACUCUUAUUAAAGAUUUCUCUCAUUGUUUCUUUUUCAACCCUCCAUCCACUCUUAAUUCUCUCCCAUCUUUUAUCUGCCAGUAUUGUCUUAUCUAGAAUAGAAAUUUAGGCUAUGGACAUCUAGUAAUAAAAAUUUAAAAACUUAAAUAAAAAAUGAAAAAAUGAGUCUAAUGAGCAAUUUUAUGGGUUCAAAUAAUUAAUUCCGCCUACUCAAGUGCCAGUAUUGUCCUAUCUAUAAUAUAAAUUUAGGCUAUGGACAUUCUAGUAAUAAAAAUUUAAAAACUUAAAUAAAAAAUGAGUCUAAUGAGUAAUUUUAUGGGUUCAAAUAAUUAAUUCCUUCUACUCAAGUAUUAUUCUUUUAUUUCUGGAUAAUAGUAACAAAGUACGAUUUCAAAGAUAACAAUUCAGAUGGGUAGGAAAGUCUUCCAAUAAAUAUUAGAUAUUUAAAUUAGUAGUUUGAAGAUAAAAUACUAGUAGGAUCAUGGAGCGGGGACAUGACUGGAUUAGCAACAAUGUUUUUUAAAAGGUAGAGAUGUGGGUAAAAAUUAAAAUGCUUUUUUAAUAUUUAACAUCAAUUAAAUAAGACUUCUUAAAAAGUAGUUGGCUAGAUCCUGGAGGUGAUUACCUGCAAAAUUCAUUACAUUGAUGAAGGAGUAUCUAAUUAGCAGAUUUGAUAUUACUCCUAUAGUUAUAGGAUGGAUAAAAGUAUUAAUUGGAAAAAAGUGUUAAUGGAGAAUAAAUGGUGGAUAUCAUUAUGUGGCUCGAACUCAUAUGCAGAUACGCUAUUACUGCACUCGCAUGAAGUGAAAAUAGAUUUGUUGGACAUCCCUUAUUCAUAUUUUUUCUCAUUAGUCAUAAUUGUCCCAUAGACAAUAACAAAUGUAGGAUUUUAAAAUGAAUAAAAAAGGUUCUUUUCAAUAAUCUCAUAUUUACAAAUUUUAUUUUCUUUUAGUGUUUCCAAAAAAGAGAAACAUGUAAAAAAUAUAUAUUAGCUUGUUAUACGAUUCUUUUUGGUCAAGUAGUGACAGUGCUUCAUAUGUGGCUCGAACUCAUACGCAGAUACGCUAUUAUAAAUUGCAAUCCUACCUAUAAUUAGGUUGAAUGACCAAAUGAAGAUACAAUAAUCUUGAACUCACAUAUAAAAUUGUAACAGUAGGAACAAAUAAUGUGAAACAUUAAACCAAACAAUAUUCAGUCAUAGUUCAAGGUAUACAUUUAUAAAAAAAAAAAAAAAGCACAAUAAACAUCGAUUAUUUUCAUGAAAAUAGCCACAUAUAACCAACAGUAAGGUUACUUAUUAUUUUAAAUAUUAUUUCGUGAAACAGCUGCAGCUACAUAGCUGACCAACACAACAGUAGCUUGUUAUUUCCAAACACAAGAGGAAUAAACACACAAAAGCAGCAAAAGGCAUGAAUGCAGCUUCUUCAAGUUGAGUAACUAUAGCUAGCAAUUGAAGAAGCAGAAGCAGGCAAAACCAAGACCAUCUCUGUGGCAAGCACCGCUACUUGCACCCUCGCGUUCUCGGCACUGUUUAUCACAGUCUUCUGUUACGAAGCACGGGCCAGUCCAAGUCUUACUACGCCGCUCGCAUAGUGCAGCCUCUGCCGGCUUUGCCAUUUCUGUAAUACACAACACUUACACAAAAUGAUUAAUUUCUAGUUAAUUAAAUUUUAUAAUGCAUGCGUGCUUGCACAAACUUAUCAUCAUGAAGUACACAUCAAUGUCACUCACCGAACGAAGCGAAGAUGAUGAAGAAUGCAAAAAGAAGAGCAAAAGUCAUUGUAAAGCCAGAAACAGAUUUAGCCAUUUUAAUUUUUAUUUGUUGCACUUGCUGAACUGGUUUAUUAUUUCAUGAAAAUGGUAAGUGACCGUAGCCCCAAUUUAUACACUUGCAAUGUAAGCUAUCCCUUCCCUUUUUGAGAAAGUUUCGAUGAAAUUUUUAGACCUUACUAGUUUUUUAAUGUAUCGAUAAAGUGCAAGGUUUAAUUGUUGUUUUGUAUUAGUUCUUGUCCUCAUGUUUUUUUUCAUUGAUUCCAAGGAAAUAUGCCCAUAUAUAUUCACCUUGUUUCCCAUGUUUAUGUUUUGAAAUUAACGCCGUUUGUUAAAUUUAUAAGUUUAUUAUGAUAAACACGUACAUGCAUGUAUCGAAUUUACAAAAUACAUUAAUUUUUAAAUAAACAUAUGAUUUUAAACUUCCUAUACGUGCACAAUAUGGUUGGCUAUUCGGUAACCAUCUCCCACGUUGGGAAUAUGUAAACAACAAAUAUAUCAGUACCAACAAAGACAGAUAAGUAUUUUCAGCCGAUGUGGCAAACAAGGUUGUGAGGCCAAAAUAAAAUAUUUACAAAGUAAUGAGGUAAAAUUGUAAAAUUUAAAAAUAGUUAAAUUUUAUAAUUUUAUAAUUAUUUUCAAAUCUUUUUUUUUACGUUGCUUUCUAAAAAAUUUCAAAAAGUAAGCCGGGGGUUACCUUGAUUUUUUUUUUUUUGGUUUUUUUUAACUUUAAAAUUUCAAAGAUAAGUUAGGGUUGCCUUGAAAGCCUUUGCUAUAGGUUGCAUUACUUUUGAAAAAUUUUCAAAAAGUCAGGGGUCACCUUGCGCAAACGCUCUUCCUCUUCUAUAUUUAUAUUAAUCUCGAACUUACUUCAAUAUAUAUCUAGUUUGCCUAUCAAGUGAUAACAUAACAUCACUGCUACAAUAAUCCUAAACUUUCAUACUGUUGGGUGUGGGUACAUGGAGAUACAUCAACAAUGGUACAAUGAAACUUCAUCGGGGCCAGACCAAUAACUUAAUUAUAUCUAGGAUGUAAUGGGAGGGGAAAAAAAUUCGAUCCUACACAAAUAAUUUAUCAUCAUGUGUUAAGUGACGAUUGACUUUAUUAAUUAUUGGUGCAAAAUUAAUAUGCCAAGCACAAAUGAUUAACUGAGAUACAAAAUCUUGGUUCUCCACUGCGUGUGUAUGUUAUACCAUGUAAUGUUGUUAUCACCACCCAAAACUCUCUCCGAAUUAAGUAGGUACAGGCUCUAAUUCAUCACAAGAUUAUUACUGCACUCAAAUGAAGUGAAAAUAGAUUUGUUGGAUAUCCCUUAUUCAUAUUUUUUCUCAUUAGUCAUAAUUGUCCAAUAGACAAUAACAAAUGUAGGAUUUUAAAAUGAAUAAAAAAGUUCUUUUCAAUAAUCUCAUAUUUACAAAUUAUAUUUUCUUUUAGUGUUUCCAAAAAAGAGAAACAUGUAAAAAAUAUAUAUUAGCUUCUUAUACGACUCUUUUUGGUCAAGUGAUAGUGCUUCAGGUAAUUUUUAUAAAUAAAAUUAAGUUUUGUUUCAAAUAAGCACUCCCCCUACCCCCCCCAAAAAAAAGAAGGGGAGAAGGCAAAACCCAGAUUGAUUUCUUAACAGUUACUUUUCUCAAAAUCCAGACUCAAGCGGUCGGCCAAAGAAAUUUGCAUAAAAACCACUCGGUCAAGCCCUUAGGGCUCAUUGAGUACUCAUUGAUGGCAAUAUAAUUAAUUAAUUCUAAUGUGACCAAGUCAUUUGCACGUGAGAGAAACUGAAUGUUAAUUAUAUUUCACCAGCAACUAUAUUUUGUUAUUUUAUAUUAUUAAGUCCCAAGAUGGUUAUGUUUCAUACACAUUUAACUAAUUAAGAACAUAAUAAAUACUUAUAUGGAAUAAACAAUUUUCAUAAUAGUACAUGAAUGUUCAUUCCUGAUGCUUGCGUAUCAUAGUAAUAUAAAUAGCGUGAAGAGAUGGAGUAAUAACUUAUAAUUAGAUUUGUAGAGUGUGGCUGAUUAUAUUAGAAUAACACAAACAAGCAAUACAACAAAGACCCAACAAACAUUGACUCGUUCCUUAUUCAGAAGCUACGUACGGUAUAGUUAUGGCUAACCGUACACCGUACGUAGCUUGUUAUUGUUCUAAACACAAGACGACUGAAACGAGACACAUCACACGAACGACAGCAAAUAAUUAAGGUAGCCACAGCUAGCUUUCGCUGCUAACGAUGGAUAUAAUUUCUGUCAUUGAUAAGCAACUAGCACUUGAAGUAACAGAAGCACGCAUAACCAGUUCCUUGUCUGUAGCAAGCCCCGUACCUU